GCCCCUGUCUAUUGGAUAGAACCUGGGAUUCUCAUUCUGGGGGCGAGGGUUCGAGUCCCUCCAGGGGCG
This 69-nucleotide transfer RNA is filed under the name Gemmatimonadota bacterium. Its description in RNAcentral is "tRNA-OTHER". The record is from RNAcentral. RNAcentral also lists the same sequence under 2 other names. Lineage: Bacteria; Pseudomonadati; Gemmatimonadota.